GGGCCCUUAGCUCAGCGGCAGAGCGCUCCGUUUGCAUCGGAGAGGCCACGGGUUCAAUUCCCGUAGGGUCCA
RNAcentral lists this transfer RNA (72 nucleotides) under uncultured archaeon. RNAcentral's name for it is "tRNA-Ala(tgc)". It matches the Rfam family "tRNA". From Rfam's summary of the family: Transfer RNA (tRNA) molecules are approximately 80 nucleotides in length. Their secondary structure includes four short double-helical elements and three loops (D, anti-codon, and T loops). Further hydrogen bonds mediate the characteristic L-shaped molecular structure. tRNAs have two regions of fundamental functional importance: the anti-codon, which is responsible for specific mRNA codon recognition, and the 3' end, to which the tRNAs corresponding amino acid is attached (by aminoacyl-tRNA synthetases). tRNAs cope with the degeneracy of the genetic code in two manners: having more than one tRNA (with a specific anti-codon) for a particular amino acid; and 'wobble' base-pairing, i.e. permitting non-standard base-pairing at the 3rd anti-codon position. The record is from RNAcentral.